GACGUAGGAUGCAAGCGUUGUCCGGAUUUAUUGGGCGUAAAGAGUUCGUAGGUGGUUCGUUAAGUCUGAUGUUAAAGAUCGGGGCUCAACCUCGGGAGUGCAUUGGAUACUGGCGGACUUGAGUGUGGUAGAGGCAAUCGGAAUUCCAGGUGUAGCGGUGAAAUGCGUAGAUAUCUGGAAGAACACCGGUGGCGCAAGCGGAUUGCUGGGCCAUAACUGACACUGAGGAACGAAAGCCAAGGGAGCAAACAGG
Molecule: ribosomal RNA, 253 nt
Filed under: uncultured bacterium
Lineage: Bacteria
Description: partial 16S ribosomal RNA
Rfam family: Bacterial small subunit ribosomal RNA
Source: RNAcentral